This is a long non-coding RNA of Leopardus geoffroyi (Geoffroy's cat), 1389 nucleotides long. RefSeq lists it as uncharacterized. The record is from RefSeq and is a predicted model, not a curated record. The transcript has 2 exons. NCBI's taxonomy places the organism in Eukaryota, Metazoa, Chordata, Mammalia, Carnivora, Felidae.
AUUACCUUUUAAUACUUUAUUUUGAUAUUCUGGCCUGCAGAGUCAUUGGCCAUUGACGGAUUCAUUCAUUAUCACUUAUUGUGACUUCUGUGUUCCAUUGCCAUGGCUAAGCGCCAGGAACUCGGUGGUGAAGGGGUCUGCCUUAAUGUCAUGGCUUGCACUGUGGAAAAAACAAGCAACAGACAGAUAUACGAUGAAAUCUAUAAUCAUACAUUUUGAACCAUGCUAUGAAAGAAUUAGAAGAUGGACAAAGCAAUGCUGACCUCCCUGGGAAGACAAAACAAAGGAGUGUGCAUUUAGCGAGUCUGAGGCAUACACCCGGGGCUCAAACAAUAAUUGUUAUCAUCACCACUUGGAGACACAAGAGGCACAGUUGUAUGACCUCGUUCUAAGUAGAAAUGAUGAAACGAUCAUCAACUAAAAUAACUAAAUAUAAGCAACCGUAUCUUUAAUGAAGUUUUUCUUAAGCCACUAACAUGGCUUGAGCUGUAAACCUAUUGUACACUCAUUUAGGCUUGUCAUUUACAUGUCCCACCACGCUAUGUUAAACAGAAAAGGUGUUGGGAAUCAAGUAAAUUAGUCAGCAAGGCAGGUGUUAAUUGGCCUUUUUACUCAGUAUGAGAAUUCUAAAUGGCUUCUAUGUAUUAUUAAGCCAAAUUCUUACCUUCCCAACUUUGGCCAUUGACUGUUAAUUCUAUCUUUUUUGCUUUAGGGGACUUACAUAAAACAAUGCAAAACAUUUGCAAACAGAUUCAAAAACUGGAGGUUAACCUUCCUUCAGUAAGUCUUUAUUGACGGCCAUGAAUAUCAAAAAGAUGAUCAAACUGAUUUAUUUUCUGCCUUGGGAUGUCCAAACACCCAGGUGAAUGUAUUUAUGAGCCCAGCAUUCUGGGCUUGUGUUUCUGAUGAGCUUACAAGAAACUCUUACAAGCUGGGAACUUGAUAUAUAACUAAUCGAGAAAAUGUAAGGCACAAAUGUGGGUGGUUUACAGUUGCACAGUCUCUUACAAUGAAGCAAAUGCCAAAUAAAGACUCAGGCCCAGAGGCAUCAUAUGGAAACACCAAUCCAAGACUCAGAAGGCUGCACAUUUCAUCUUGGCUCAACGCUUACUGAGCAUUUACAUUGCACAAGGUGGUGGAAUUAAAUACUUAUUUACUGUAUCGAUAUAUGUGCAUGUAAUAUGCACACGCAGUUUUAGAAAGUGCCAGGCGUCCGGGUCAGGAUGUUCCAAUCGCUUUGAACUAAAUCCCUUUUCCAUAAUGAAGCCAUGCAAAAAAUUUCAACAAUGGUUAAGAUUACCCAUAACCAGUUACUCUGACAGGACUCAUUGCUAUUUCGUGGGAGAUGUUAAGAACAUUGUCUCCGUAAUAAAAUAUGAUGUUAUCAGA